GUUACUGUAGCUAGAGCAGCUGACUCUUAAUCAGCGGGCCCAGGGUUCGAGUCCCUGGAAGUGCACCA
This 68-nucleotide transfer RNA is filed under the name Subdoligranulum sp. AM16-9. RNAcentral's name for it is "tRNA-Lys". The stretch from base 8 to 57 matches the Rfam family "tRNA", at positions 8 to 63 of the family's 71-position model. From Rfam's summary of the family: Transfer RNA (tRNA) molecules are approximately 80 nucleotides in length. Their secondary structure includes four short double-helical elements and three loops (D, anti-codon, and T loops). The record is from RNAcentral. Lineage: Bacteria; Bacillati; Bacillota; Clostridia; Eubacteriales; Oscillospiraceae.